AAGUCUGAAUCCUGAAAUUGACCAAUCAUUCAGUCACAUGUUAACUUGUAUUAUCCUCUUGAUUCUCAAACCAGAUUGUAAGAAGAUUAAGAACAAGGAUGAUACAUUAUACUUUUCUGGUGUCUCCUACAAAAUUAAGCACACAGUAAUGUUUGACAGCACAGAAGAAGUAAGAGGAGAUUGGGACACAGACACACACAGAGGGAGGACCACAUGAGGACACAGGGAGAAGACGGCCACCUACAUGCCAAGGAGAGAGGACUCAGAAGGAGCCAACCCUGCUGACACUUUGAUCUUGGACUGCCAGCUUCCAGAACUGGGAAACAAUAAAUGUUUGUUGUUGAA
Canis lupus familiaris (dog) is the source of this 345-nucleotide long non-coding RNA. RefSeq lists it as uncharacterized. The record is from RefSeq and is a predicted model, not a curated record. Lineage: Eukaryota; Metazoa; Chordata; Mammalia; Carnivora; Canidae. The transcript has 2 exons.